Molecule: ribosomal RNA, 578 nt
Filed under: uncultured bacterium
Lineage: Bacteria
Description: bacterial SSU rRNA
Rfam family: Bacterial small subunit ribosomal RNA
Source: RNAcentral
UAAUACGGAGGAUGCAAGCGUUAUCCGGAUUUAUUGGGUUUAAAGGGUGCGCAGGCGGCGCGUUAAGUCAGCGGUGAAAUCUCCCGGCUCAACCGGGGAACUGCCAUUGAUACUGGCGUGCUAGAGUACGGACGGCGCCGGCGGAAUGUGUCAUGUAGCGGUGAAAUGCUUAGAUAUGCCACAGAACACCGAUCGCGAAGGCAGCUGGCGAGGCCGGUACUGACGCUCAGGCACGAAAGCGUGGGGAUCAAACAGGAUUAGAUACCCUGGUAGUCCACGCAGUAAACGAUGAUAACUUGUUGUCGGCGAUAGAGUGUCGGUGACAAAGCGAAAGCGAUAAGUCUUCCACCUGGGGAGUACGAUCGCAAGGUUGAAACUCAAAGGAAUUGACGGGGGCCCGCACAAGCGGAGGAGCAUGUGGUUUAAUUCGAUGAUACGCGAGGAACCUUACCUGGACUCAAAUGUUGAGCGACCGGCCUAGAAAUAGGCCUUCCCUUCGGGGCGCUUAGCAAGGUGCUGCAUGGUUGUCGUCAGCUCGUGCCGUGAGGUGUCAGGUUAAGUCCUAUAACGAGCGCAAC